AUACGUAGGGGGCUAGCGUUAUCCGGAAUUACUGGGCGUACAGGGUGCGUAGGUGGUUUCUUAAGUCAGAAGUGAAAGGCUACGGCUCAACCGUAGUAAGCUUUUGAAACUAAGAGACUUGAGUGCAGGAGAGGAGAGUAGAAUUCCUAGUGUAGCGGUGAAAUGCGUAGAUAUUAGGAGGAAUACCAGUUGCGAAGGCGGCUCUCUGGACCGUAACUGACACUGAGGCACGAAAGCGUGGGGAGCAAACAGGAUUAGAUACCCUGGUAGUCCACGCCGUAAACGAUGAGUACUAGCUGUCGGGGGUUACCCCCCUCGGUGGCGCAGCUAACGCAUUAAGUACUCCGCCUGGGAAGUACGCUCGCAAGAGUGAAACUCAAAUGAAUUGACGGGG
RNAcentral lists this ribosomal RNA (394 nucleotides) under uncultured bacterium. RNAcentral's name for it is "partial 16S ribosomal RNA". It matches the Rfam family "Bacterial small subunit ribosomal RNA", at positions 523 to 918 of the family's 1533-position model. The record is from RNAcentral.